UUCAGAUACUCCCUCUUUGCUCAUGUGUUCCAAGUUACUGCCAGGCAAGGCAACGAUAACAAACAACAAGAUUCUUAACGUUUUGACUUUACUCGACUUUUAUAGAUCACCUAUAAUGUUAUCCAGGAACUUUCUGAAGAAAUAUUAGGAUACAUGAAACGUUUAUUUGUUUGAACUUAAUUCCGUGUUGAUAUUGAAGUAGAUGUUUGAUUGCUCUGGUCUAGGGACGCAUCAUUUGCAGCCUUGGGAAUCUAAUUUUCUCUCCGCAACUCCCUAGUCAUUAUCUCUACACUACAACAAAGUAGUCUAACUGUACUGUAGCCAACAAUAUUUCAUUCCAUACAAAGAAAUAAUAGCUUCCACAAUGGAUCGGGACAAAUCUAGGCCGUUCCCCUUCACCCUCCAGGAGUCCCCAGGUCUAAUGUCUCCCUGUACUUUACUGCUGGGUCUGGUUGCCUGCAGGAAAACACCAGGGCAGAGUGGAACUGAGAGAGGAGAAGAGAAGAGGAAUAUGGAGAUGUGAUUUCAUUAAGGGGCAGCCCAAAUCGUUGCUCUCUCAGUGGAAGGGGCUUAUCAUCUGGGGAGCCUCAACAACAUCAUGAUGCUGACAAGAAAGAGAAGAGUCUCUCCAAAUCAGAACACCUCAAGAAACAACAGCAUAGAGGUAUACGGAAGAAACCUCACCACUGCUGCUUUGACUGUGGGAAGAGUUUUGCUAAACAGAAGGAAUUGAUGAUUCAUGAGCAUAUUCACAAUGGAGAGAAACCAUACCACUGUUCUCAGAGUGGUAAGAGUUUUGUUGCAUUUAAAAUCUUAAAAUCUAAUCAGAGAAUUCAUACAAGGGAGAGGACUUACACCUGCUUUGAUUGUGGGAAAUACUUCAGUCGAUCAGGAGACCUGACUGCACACCAACGCAUACACACAGGAGUGAAGCCUUAUAGCUGUGAUCAAUGUGGGAAGAGUUUCAAUCAUUCAGGAUCCCUGACUAAACACCAAUGCAUACACACAGGAGUUAAGCCUUAUAGCUGUGAUCAAUGUGGGAAGAGCUUUGCUCUAUCCGGAAACCUGACUACACACCAACGCAUACACACAGGAGAGAAGCCUUAUAGCUGUGAUCAGUGUGGAAAGAGUUUUGCUCUAGAUUUCAAUCUGACAACACACCAGCGAAUACACACUGGAGAGAAACCUUACUCCUGUCUAUGUGGAAAGAGCUUUGCUCAUUCAGGGUCACUGAAAAACCACCAGAAAACAAACAUGUCAUCUUUCAUCUCCCUUCUCUCCGGCGCCAGUUCCAGAUCCCUAAAUAAAGUUUACAUAGAAAACAUCUUGUAAAGAGUCAUCCAUCUCCCAUUCUCUAACACUUUACUAAGUCUGAUUACCAUGGUAACCUGUGUAGCAUAAUAUGCAUCUCUGGAUCCAUGUGUAUCAAGUGGCUUGGAGUAGGAGUGUUCAGAGCUGUAUCUUAUUUCUAUAUCUCCUAUUAUCCAUUAAAUAACUUUAAUGAAGAAUGUUUCAACAAUACAAGGUGUGUAUUCAUUUAUUCAAUAGAAAAAUAAAUUACAUCCAUUAU
Oncorhynchus masou masou (cherry salmon) is the source of this 1570-nucleotide long non-coding RNA. RefSeq lists it as uncharacterized. Lineage: Eukaryota; Metazoa; Chordata; Actinopteri; Salmoniformes; Salmonidae. The record is from RefSeq and is a predicted model, not a curated record. The transcript has 3 exons.